This is a long non-coding RNA of Lolium perenne, 634 nucleotides long. RefSeq lists it as uncharacterized. NCBI's taxonomy places the organism in Eukaryota, Viridiplantae, Streptophyta, Magnoliopsida, Poales, Poaceae. The record is from RefSeq and is a predicted model, not a curated record.
CACCAUUUUCUGACAAAAAAACAUUUCUACAACAAUUCGAUUAUCAAUAGGCUGAGCUGAGCUUUGGUGAACUGCACGUGUAGAGAGCGAUGAGGAGAUAUGGAGGAUCAAACUUGGACCUAAACCCACGAGGUCUAUAUAGAGGAAAGAAACAGAUAAAAGCUCCCGAGCCAAGUUGGUUCAGUCCUUCCAUUCUUACUGUGUUGAGUAGUUUCUUGGGAAAUAACCACGCCGCACUAUUUGUAGCAGACAGUUUCAUUAUCGUUAGGCUGUUUUGAACAGUUUGCUCGAACUGAAUGACAAUGGACAUGCCUACCUUGAGAACGAUUUUUGGAGGAAGUAAAACACUGGAUCUUGGCAUAUUUAGAAGGCUAGCUUCCCUAUUUGCAUCUUUCAUGUACUGAAUAUUUCAUAGCAGUCACAUACUGAACAUUUUGUAUUCCAAACUCUGAACUAACCGGCACCACUUCUCUAGCAUUAGCAUUAGCAUCAGACAGCAGCACAGAAACCCUGACAGACCCAGAAAAAUCUGUUGUACUCUAUUCACCUGAAGAAAUGACAAAUGCACUAGAGGAUAGCAAAGCUUGAGGAACCAUGCCGGCCAGACGACAGCUGCCUCAGCUGCCUCGAAUGA